ACACCCGCGAACGCCCGCUCGCGAGUGCGUGCCAGACACGGUGGGCUGGUCUUCGCUGGAGGCCCUUUGUGGGUCCGUGAUGAUCGGAGGUGUUCUGUGCCUGUGUUUCUAUGUCAGUCUGAACGUUCGGGGUUGUGAGUACCUGUUGUACUCUACAUGUCUCUUGAGUAUUUGUGUCACUUGACUCUAGGUCUGUGUCUCUUCCUAUUCGUGGCGGGUAUCUGCCUGAGCAUGUUUGUAAAUAUGCUUGUGUCUGUGUAAUUCUGUGUGUCUGUGUUACUCUAUGCGUCUGAGUUUCAGUCUCUGUAUUUGUGACCAGGUCCUCCUGGGUGUGUCCAUUAAUUCAUGUGUCUGUUAGUUUGCGGCGGAACAGGUGUGUGUGUGUGUGUGUGUGUCUGUGAUCCUGGAUCUGUAUGCCAGUUCCUCACUGGGGGUUUCUGAGAACCUGCAUCUCUUUGCUUGUAUGUCUUUUUGUCUAUCUGUGUGUUCAUUUCUACCCUCUCUAGUGAGGACAGAAUUCCAAGACCCUACCAAGCCCUUCUUUUUUCUGAUGGGGGAACUGAAUUGCCAGGGAAUGGGGCCACAUCACAGCUAAAAGGAGACAAGAGGAGACAGAAGCUCGUUGAUAUACAAAGUUUUAUGUGACCUGAGCCCCUCUGGAGGCACCAGAGUCCACACUCUGUACUCAGAAGAUGGUGAUGCUACUGCUUUCAAGGUGAUGCUACUGCACAGAGAAGGGGA
RNAcentral lists this long non-coding RNA (741 nucleotides) under Homo sapiens (human). RNAcentral's name for it is "non-protein coding lnc-TGFB1-6:1". The record is from RNAcentral. Lineage: Eukaryota; Metazoa; Chordata; Mammalia; Primates; Hominidae.